RNAcentral lists this ribosomal RNA (460 nucleotides) under uncultured bacterium. Its description in RNAcentral is "bacterial SSU rRNA". It matches the Rfam family "Bacterial small subunit ribosomal RNA", at positions 28 to 524 of the family's 1533-position model. The record is from RNAcentral.
GAUGAAUGCUGGCGGCGUGCCUAAUACAUGCAAGUCGAGCGGUAAGGCCCUUCGGGGUACACGAGCGGCGGACGGCUGAGUAACGCGUGGGAACGUGCCCCAAAGUGAGGGAUAACCUCGAGAAAUCGAGGCUAAUACCGCAUAUGGUCUUCGGAUUAAAGGAUUUAUCCGCUUUGGGAGCGGCCCGCGUACGAUUAGUUUGUUGGUGAGGUAAUGGCUCACCAAGACUACGAUCGUUAACUGGUCUGAGAGGAUGAUCAGUCAGACUGGAACUGAGACACGGUCCAGACUCCUACGGGAGGCAGCAGUAAGGAAUCUUCCACAAUGGGCGAAAGCCUGAUGGAGCAACGCCGCGUGCAGGAUGAAGGCCCUCGGGUCGUAAACUGCUUUUAUGAGUGAAGAAUAUGACGGUAACUCAUGAAUAAGCACCGGCUAACUGCGUGCCAGCAGCCGCGGUAAU